UUCAGGUGAGACAAGGCAAAGUGACCCGCCAAGGGAAGUUCAAACCCAACAGCUACGCCUACCGGACAAAGGCGGGCACCGUGCUGCUCCACAAGUCAACGAUCAACAGGGAGGCCUCCAAGCUGUACAGCCGCUGGCUAACGUACUUCAUGGCCGUGAAGUCCAACGGCGGCGUGUUUGUGCGGGACUCCUCGCAGGUCCACCCGCUGGCUGUGCUGCUCAUGACCGACACAGACAUCCACGUCCGAGAUGAUGGCUGGCGAGCAACAGUCUCCCUGACAGACAGCGACCUCCUGGUGCUGGAGGGAGACUCCUACACCAUCCGCCUCCUGCGUGAUUUCCGCGUGUCGCUCUCCAAGAUGGUGGAGACGUGCCUGUGCUAUGAGAUGGCAGCCAUCCCCGGGGACCUGCACCACCAGCACAGCCAGCUGCUCGACAUCCUGGUGGAUCUGCUCAAAGGCCCUCCUGGCAGCUUUGGCGCUUAGGCAGAGCUGGAGGAUUGUGUGGGGACUUGUAAUUUGUAUAAAGAUGUUCACAAAUGUUUAUUUAAAUAAAAGUUCUAUUUAUCCCUUGUGAAGUCAUCUCUCUCCAUCCUAGAAGAUUAAUGUUGUCUGAAUCUCCUGCUGUCGGCUCCGUGCAUGGGCACCGUGUAGGAAGAACCAGCGUCGCGCCGCCUGGGACGGACUGCGAGCGCCGAUGGGACCCUGCGGCGAGCCUCGUGGACCCCCCACCUCCUCCGCUCCGACGGUGUCAGUCCCUGAACUGGAACUGGAAAGCAAGGACACGGCUGCUGCCGGCCGUCCUCCGCCCCAUCCCCACAGGGCCGGGCAGAGCGUGGAUGCAGCGGCGCAGGGUGGAGAUCUCCUCCUCGUACCCCUCCGUGCCCCGAGGACGUCGGAGGGGAGGAAGCCCCGAAGGUGCCGGAGGCGACGUUUGUUCCACGCGGGAUCCGAGCCUCACAGCGGGGGCCCUGCCGCCCCACAGCGCGAGCGCAGUCGUGGCGUUAUGAGU
This 1011-nucleotide long non-coding RNA is filed under the name Anas platyrhynchos platyrhynchos (common mallard). Its description in RNAcentral is "lncRNA (ENSAPLG00000016481.1)". The record is from RNAcentral. Lineage: Eukaryota; Metazoa; Chordata; Aves; Anseriformes; Anatidae.